UACGAAGGGGGCUAGCGUUGCUCGGAAUCACUGGGCGUAAAGGGUGCGUAGGCGGGUUAUUAAGUCAGAGGUGAAAUCCUGGAGCUCAACUCCAGAACUGCCUUUGAUACUGAUAGUCUUGAGUACGGGAGAGGUGAGUGGAACUGCGAGUGUAGAGGUGAAAUUCGUAGAUAUUCGCAAGAACACCUGUGGCGAAAGCGGCGCACUGGACCAUAACUGACGCUGAGGCGCGAAAGCUAGGGGAGCAAACAGG
Molecule: ribosomal RNA, 253 nt
Filed under: uncultured bacterium
Lineage: Bacteria
Description: partial 16S ribosomal RNA
Rfam family: Bacterial small subunit ribosomal RNA
Source: RNAcentral